CCUGCUUGCUAUAUUCCCAGGGAAACUCCAAUGGAAUUAAGCCUCAGAGAUGUAAAAAGAGGAAAUAGAGGGCAGGGAGUGUGCCACAGAGUGUGACCAAAGCCUGCUGAGAAGUUGCAGGGAAGGCCUGCCUCCCAGCCAAAGUGGAGUGAAGGAGAACACAUGGAAAGAACAUUUGGGCCAGAGACUCCCUACUGCAAGUGGGGUUCAAGGACCAACUGCACCAGCAUCAUCAGAGAAAAAUUCAGAAUCUCAGGCCCUACCUUAGACUUCUGGAACCUGAAUCUCCAUUUUAA
Non-coding RNA from Heterocephalus glaber (naked mole-rat), 296 nucleotides. NCBI's taxonomy places the organism in Eukaryota, Metazoa, Chordata, Mammalia, Rodentia, Bathyergidae. The record is from RefSeq and is a predicted model, not a curated record.